CGAACGGGUGAGUAAUGCGUGACCAACCUGCCCCAUGCUCCAGAAUAGCUCUUGGAAACGGGUGGUAAUGCUGGAUGCUCCAACUUGACGCAUGUCUUGUUGGGAAAGUGUUUAGUGGCAUGGGAUGGGGUCGCGUCCUAUCAGCUUGUAGGCGGGGUAAUGGCCCACCUAGGCUUCGACGGGUAGCCGGCCUGAGAGGGCGGACGGCCACAUUGGGACUGAGAUACGGCCCAGACUCCACGGGAGGCAGCAGUC
This 255-nucleotide ribosomal RNA is filed under the name uncultured Gardnerella sp. RNAcentral's name for it is "partial 16S ribosomal RNA". It matches the Rfam family "Bacterial small subunit ribosomal RNA", at positions 99 to 355 of the family's 1533-position model. The record is from RNAcentral. Lineage: Bacteria; Bacillati; Actinomycetota; Actinomycetes; Bifidobacteriales; Bifidobacteriaceae.